RNAcentral lists this ribosomal RNA (466 nucleotides) under uncultured bacterium. RNAcentral's name for it is "partial 16S ribosomal RNA". It matches the Rfam family "Bacterial small subunit ribosomal RNA", at positions 28 to 505 of the family's 1533-position model. The record is from RNAcentral.
GACGAACGCUGGCGGCGUGCUUAACACAUGCAAGUCGAACGGAAAGGCCCUGCUUUUGUGGGGUGCUCGAGUGGCGAACGGGUGAGUAACACGUGAGUAACCUGCCCUUGACUUUGGGAUAACUUCAGGAAACUGGGGCUAAUACCGGAUAGGAGCUCCUGCUGCAUGGUGGGGGUUGGAAAGUUUCGGCGGUUGGGGAUGGACUCGCGGCUUAUCAGCUUGUUGGUGGGGUAGUGGCUUACCAAGGCUUUGACGGGUAGCCGGCCUGAGAGGGUGACCGGCCACAGUGGGACUGAGAUACGGCCCAGACUCCUACGGGAGGCAGCAGUGGGGAAUAUUGCACAAUGGGCGGAAGUCUGAUGCAGCAACGCCGCGUGCGGGAUGACGGCCUUCGGGUUGUAAACCGCUUUCGCCUGUGACGAAGCGUGAGUGACGGUAAGGGGUAAAGAAGCACCGGCUAACUACG